AAGUCGUAACAAGGUUUCCGUAGGUGAACCUGCGGAAGGAUCAUUAACACGUUAUCCACGUAUCAACCAACCGAGAACCCGUUUUCACACUCUCCUCUGGGGAAUGAAUUGAGCUUGCUUAGAGUUAUUGGAAGGGAUGCUUGCGUCAGGCUCUACUCGCUACUUGUACAAACCUAUAGCUUUUGUUAUUAAUUGUACUAACAGUUGUAUCUUUCGGAGGUUUACAGUUCACUAUGUUCGGGUCUCCUACCAUUGACUUUUUCUGUGAACAUAAAUUUACCCAUUUCACCCUAUUUUUGCUAGUUGACUCUUAUAUGUUGUACAUUUGUUUCGGCACUUGUGCACACGUUUAAUUAUUUGAACGUUAAAAAUACAACUCUUAGCAAUGGAUAUCUAGGUUCUC
Molecule: unclassified non-coding RNA, 403 nt
Filed under: fungal sp.
Lineage: Eukaryota; Fungi
Description: partial internal transcribed spacer region
Rfam family: Eukaryotic small subunit ribosomal RNA (bases 1-46)
Source: RNAcentral